GCGGUAAGUGAAAAUAUUUUUGUAGUAUGGUUUGAAAUUGAUGUUUUUCUCACUUUUUUACGAUAAAAAAAUGCAGGGUCUUGCUGGGCAUUUUCGGCUGUGGCAGCUAUGGAAGGAAUUACUCAGCUAUCAACUGGGAAGCUAAUCUCUCUUUCUGAACAAGAGCUGGUUGACUGUGACACUAGUGGGGAAGAUCAAGGCUGCAAUGGUGGUCUAAUGGACGAUGCCUUCAAAUUCAUAGAACAAAAUCAUGGUCUCGCCACCGAAGCUAACUACCCCUACGCGGGAACUGAUGGCACCUGCAACCGCAAGAAGGCAGCCCACCCUGCAGCCAAGAUAAAUGGGUAUGAAGAUGUGCCAGCCAACAAUGAGAAGGCUCUGCAAAAGGCUGUUGCCCACCAACCUAUUGCUGUUGCCAUUGAUGCUGGGGGGUUUGAGUUCCAAUUCUAUUCAAGUGGUGUGUUUACAGGACAGUGUGGCACAGAACUAGACCACGGUGUUGCUGCUGUUGGUUACGGAACCAGCGAUGAUGGGAUGAAGUAUUGGCUGGUGAAGAACUCAUGGGGCACAGGAUGGGGUGAAGUAGGUUACAUACGGAUGCAAAGGGAUGUGACUGCAAAGGAAGGUCUCUGUGGAAUUGCAAUGCAAGCAUCUUACCCCACCGCAUAAAAUUAAUUGAAAAAAGGCAAUCCCUACUAUCCUGUGGUUAAUCAAUUACAAGAUAUGUUGCGCUGAUAAUUUCUAGUCUAUAGUUGUGUAUAAUUCAGCAAGGAUGCCCUGUGGUCAAAAGAGUCCAUAAAAUUAUGUAUGGACCAUAAUAUAUAAAUAUGAACGUACACCUUCAGUUGGUUCCUUCCUAUUUCUGUGUUUUGAAUGAGAAAUGACAGGGGAUCUCAUACUAAAAGUAUCAGACUAAAUAAAGUAAAAGAAUAAGGAUGGAAAAUGACACCAAAAAAAGAAAGACAAUUUUUUUGUUAACAUUGCAAUACCCAAACCAAUUUCUUAGCUUUAUGCAACUCACCAAGAUCACCACUAGCAAGCAAAGAUAUCAUCAACAUACAUAGUCGAAAAUACAAAUUUGGUCUUAUAUAUACAACAAUCAACAGUGUUUCUUAAUUCAAAGGAAGUUACUAUAUCAUUCAACUUAAGAUACAAUUGUUGAGAAGCUUGUUUAUGUAGGGAAUACUUGGAUUAUUCCAUUCCCUAUCCUAGGACUAGUUAAAGUGCAUGCAAUACUUCCUAGGGCCUCUAGAUCUUAGCAACAUAAUUAGCAACAAAUAUAAAAAAACAAUCAAGAUCUAGAGUUUAGUACUUUACCUCACGUAUAUCUUGGGUGUUUCUAGAUAUAAUCUAGUUGGUGAAGAGGAGUGUCAAAGCCGUUGCAGUUGUUGUAGAUAUCAUGAACCCACUGAUCUUUUGCCACGAUGACUCUCUUUGAAUCUCAAUACUGGAGGGGUGGAAUUUUCUCUCACUAGGGUUGGUGGAUGACCUAUUAUGGAAUGUAUGCACGAAUGCUGAUAAAAAGGACGAAGGCUAGCUACACAAUAUCUAAGCAUAAUAUGGCAUAUAUAGAAACUUUUGACAAUCCCAUGGACAAACUUGCAUGCUAAGAAUUAAUGAAUUUGCAAGUCUUAUUGAUAAAAGAAUUCAUAGCCUCACAAAAUAUUUCAAAGUGCACAUUUGUUUUUUAGAACUAAUUUCUUUCAAAUACAAAGAUGUUAGUUCCAUCUAUAAUUAAAUAAGGGAAAAAAAUGAGUUGUUGUAAAGUUUUCUCUUAAUAAUUUUUUGUUAAUCAUUCAUGAAAGCAAAAAAAUCAUAAUUCCAAAAAAAAAUUGAAUAUCAUGACUUUUGCUAACAUAAAUAUAAUUAAGUUAUUAGAUAUACCUUGAUCCAUAAUUGAAACUUUGUUUCAAAUGAGGACCUUUAACAUCAAUCCAUGGAAAAUUGAUACCUCUCUCUUAGCCCUAUUAAUUUUUUUAUACAAUAAUAAUUAAUAUCAUGUAAUGAUGGAUCUAUUACUUUUAUAGGUUGAGAGAGGAUGAGUUUCAGAUCACAAACAAUUUACUUUCCAUCAAAGUAAAAUUCCAUAAGGAAACAUUACUGGAACACAAUACAAUAGACAAAUUCAUACUUAAAUAAGUUAUCAUAAAUAUUAUAGUUAAUUAGAAUACUAAUGUGAGUCAUGGCAGUUGUUUGUCAUUUACUGUAACACAUUUUCUUCUAUAUACAAACUAGCAAUCUAAGUAACUCGGUCUAUAAAUGGGAAGUAAUCAUAAAUGUCCACAAUAAUGUCUUUGUCACAUACUACUCCUAUAAUCAUUCAUUUAAUCUCUUAUAUGGACACAAAAGGGAAGAUAAGAAACAUCAAUACCACAUUAUUUACUUGAAAAUGUCACUUAAUAAUCAUAAUGCAGAUCUACAAGUUAUUAUUUAAUAAUCACAGCAAAGACUCAUCCUUUCCAUGUAUUCCUUAAAUGUCUCUGAUGGCAAUCUUUUCAUCAAUGGAUAAGCAAUCAUAAACUUCAAUUUUAUUGGUACUCUUUGUUUUUAGGCCUCCUUUUUAAUGAUAAAUUAUAUAAAUUCUAUGAAUCUCACACCCUUAGAAUAUUUGUGAUUCUUGAAGAAAAAGAUAGUCAGAAUCAUCGCAAUUAAUUUUUACAGGCUUUACAAUAGCGUUGACGAAUUUAAGUUCUAAAAUAAUGUUCCACAACACCACAUUUCAUGAAUUGUAACCUCAAAAAAAUCAAAAGAUUUGAAUUCCAUAGUAGAUGAAGCUGUGAAAAAAUAUUUCACACUUUUUCAUGAGAUUGCUCCUCUAGCUAGCUAGAGUAAAUAAACAAAAGUGGACUUUUUUCUAUCAAGACAUCUAGAAAAAUCUGAAUUUAAUAUCUAAUCACUCCUAAAUGAUCAAAUCUCUUAAAUUUGAGCAUGUACUCUUUCAUUCCUAGUAGAUACUUCAGUAGCUUCUAUACAAUUUUUAAUGAUCCAUCCUUGGAUUACUUUAUUAUUUGCUCAACAUGCUUACCACAAAGCUGAUGUUUAGAUUGUUGCAAAUUUGGGUAUACAUCAAACUUCCUACAACACAUAAAUGAGGGAUUCUUUCCAUUUGUUUGUAUUUUAAAUCAUUUCUUGCACAUCAUAUGAGACUAAACUUAUCCCUUUCUAUAUUAAUGCAAUAGUUGCGAAACAAUUUUCCAUUCCAAAUCUUUCUAGGACUCUAUAUAUUCUUACAUGCAUUUUGAGAUAAUCCUAAUAAUUCAUGUGACCUAUCCUAUAAUAUUUCAAUUCCAAUCACACAAGCUAGCUCCCCCAUAUCUUUCAAAGAUUUCACUACAAGAAAAAAGAGAAACAAUGACGUUUAUUAAGUGUCAAGAAAGAGGAAAGAUGGCGCUUCUCUAAAGCGUCAUCUUCCGGCCUGUCAUUGUAUAUAUUAGCCAACAAUGACGCUUUUAAGAAGCGUCAUCUUUAAUUAUGCUUUCAACGACACUUAAGAAAGUGUCAUCUUUGAAUAAUAUUAACAAUGACACUCGUAUAAGUGUCAUAAUUGAAUACUUUCUAUUGAAAUAUUUUUUGCAAAAUUACCAAUUUUGACAGUUAUAAGAACGUCAUCUUUGAAUAGUUUUAUCAAUGACACUUCUAAAAGCAUCAUCUUUGAACACUUGCUAUUAAAAAUAAUAUUUAUAUCCUCUUAUUAAAAUAAAAAAUUUCCUGUAUAAUUAAAUAAAAAACAAUUAAAAGUCAUAAACCGAAUUCAAAUUUUACUAAUUAAAAUAUCUUCAAAUAUGGAUGUAAAAUAACUUAGUUCGAAUAAUUAAUAUAACUAGUUUAUAUACAAUAAUUACAUCCAAAUUUAUUAAUCAUAUCAAAAUAUUUCAACAACAAUUUCUAAGUCCUUCAAUAAAAGAACAAACAUGAAUGCAAUGACGAUUAAGAUAAACCAUAAUCUACAAAAACCUAAUUUAACCUCCUAAUGAGUUCAUUGAUCAAUGUAAUCUUCGUGGUUUUUGUCAUCAUGCCUUCAUCAAUAUAAUGAUUUCUCUUCUUUCAACAAACUAGUUUCCUUUGCAACCUGUAACAAAGAUAGGAAGGAUAGAAAAUUUCUAAAUUAUACAUGCAAUGACCAAUAAGUAUAAUUGAAAUUAUGACUUUUUACAAAUGUUUAAGAAAAAUAUAAUAGUUAGAACCAAUAUCAAAUGAAAUGUGGAAAAAAAUUGACUCACCUUGGCAUUGAAUUUUAGUUGAAAGCCAAAGAACCCAUUUUCAAUAAUGCAGUCAAGGGAAGAGCAACAAUUGAACCUAAGGAAUCAAUGAUGAUACAUGCAUCAAUAUAGAUCUCAUUAACAAUUAAUCAAAUAGCCUAAAAUUGAUAACCUAAGGAAAUAGAUAAAAUGAAUCAUCCCAUACUAUUCAAGUCAACAUACCUUUCAACCCGCUGCAUACAUUCAAAACAAUAGAAAGAUCUCAAUGCAUAUACCUUAGUAUGGAUUUUAAAUCCUGCUGGAGGUUGCAAAGAAGGAAGGCUAUUGGAGAGUCACUACUAGGCCAAAUCAAGAUAAUUCACUAUUGCUCAAAACAUACAUGACAAUGAUUUUAUUUUUACAUUAAGCAAUCGUGUUGACAACAUUUUCCAUCUAGCACUCCCAACCUAAACUUCAUCCAUCAUCAUUUCCAAGGUUUAUUAGUACCCAUGAGCAAGCAAUUGUUUUGAUUUUAUGUAUUACUAAUUGAUAUUGUAAGUUGUUAUUAGUAUAGCAAAUGAACUUUUGCUUAUUUACUUCUCCUUAUACUAACCAUGGUAAAGGCAUUGGAUAUGGUCCUCAUUUACAAAUAUGGGGUGAAGAAGACAUGCUCUAUGAGGCACAAGUGUAAAUGUUGUGAAGGGUCUCCUCUCCUAUAUUUGCCUGUCCUCGAGCGUCCAUCAGAUUAUACCACAUCAAGGUAUGAUGGAAUACCAUCACCUCAAUAUUAAGGCAAUGGCGCAAUCAUAAUUUAAUUUUUGUUUUCAUAUUAUUUCAUAUUUCUUUUUCACACUACAAAGAAGAAAAACUCCUUUUUCUUUAGAGGAAGAAAAAGUAAGAAAGUAGUAUAAUAAUAUUUUGAUAAUACAUUUUUCAAUUUUUUUUAAAAAAAUAAUUCUAGACUUAUCAUUUAUAAAAAAAAAAUUUAAUAUUUUUACAUUUUAGAAAAGAAAAGAACUAAAAAAAGGAAAAACAAAAUGAAACUUCUCACUGUUUUUGUUUUUAUAAUGAAAGGAAUUUGUAAGAAAAUAAUUAUCAUUUUUGCUAUCAAAUAGGAUCAAAAUAAUGCUCAAAUUUUUAAAAUUUGUGAAUGAUUAAAAGAAUGUCAACAAAUUUUAUACAUAACUUAACACUAAUUCUUGUUUUUAAAAAUAAAAAUAAAAAAAGAAGAAAAGAAAAUAGAAAAUGUAUCCAAACCAUCACUUAACUAUUAAAAUUCUAGUAGUGUACCUGGAGAAAGAUUGAAAACCAAAGGGUGAAAAACUUUAGGGAGACAGAAUCCAAGUAUCAGAAUUGGGCUUCCUGCAAGUUAGUUAACAAAAUUAUGGCAUUUAAUGAGUUGUGUUUCAAGAAGAAAAGAAAAUAUUAACUUUUUUAUUCAUAAAAAAAAUUAGGAACUUAAUUAUUUAUCAAAGCUAAUAACAUAAUUCAUAUAUGAUCCAAAACGGUAAGAAGUUAACAGUCUUCGUUAUCACUAACACCUUUAAGAAGCUCUAAAAUCAAAUCUAUAUUUGAUAAGUUAAAUUUUUUUUAAAAUAAAGAAUAAAAAUUAAAAUUAAAAAUUAAAGGUUUAUCUACAUUUUUCAAAUUCUUUGGAAAAUUUGAAAUUUAAUUUUUUUUUUUUAGUUUUAAAUUUUAUUUAAAACCUUAUAACUUUUUAAUUAACCAUUUAAUACAUUCAUAUCCUUAAAAAUUCCCAUGACAAAAAUAAUUGGAUUGGAUCAUUUAUUUUUUAUGUUGAGUCUGACAACUCUAAUUGCAACUUCUUUUAAUAUUCAUUCUCAAUAGAUUGAACAUCAUGAAAAAACAAUAGACCCAGGAAUCUAGCACUAUAUAAAGCUAUCUAAUUACAUCAUGACACUAUUGUUUGAACAUCUAGCAGGCAAAAACAUCUUAAUUUCAAUCUGUUUAAGAUACAUGGAAGAAUUCUUUUAAACAUUCAGCAAGUAGUGAAUUCAAUGAUCAAUUAUUUUAGACUUACAAAUUGAUAACCAACUUGAAAUUUAUGUUUUCUAUCCAAAACAUCAAAACCAUUAAUGCUCUAUUUAUCUCAAUAAAUAUUUUAUAAAAAGUAAAAAAUUUAUUCAUGGAUUUUGAAAUUUUAAUGAAGAAAUCCCAAAUUAGAAUCAACAUUCUUAAAUUGUUCAACAUAAUUCAACACUUAAUCCUUCUUUUGUUUCAUCUGUAUUACUUUUGUACUUUUCAAUUUCAUUUGUUCUAGGUUUUUCCCUAAUUAUACUUAUAUUUGUUAAAUAAAGAGAGAAUAUAAGAGUCAAGUAUCAACAUUAUUUCAUCCUUAAGUUCCCAAAUUAUCCCUCAUUAUUCCUAUAUUUGUUAAAUAAAGAGAAAAUAUAAUAACCUAAAAUCAACACUAUUUCAUAUCUUAAGUUCCCAAAUCAUGAAAUUAUCACCAUGCCACAAACAUAACAAUGAGAAAAAAAAAAGGUCAUAAAAGUUCCAACAUGGUGCCAAACUCCUUGACAAAAACCAACCAAACUAAUUGCUUUGAUCACUAUGAAGGAAAAUAUGAUAAUCCUUUUUGCCCAUGUAUGUAUGCAAUGGCCUGUUCUAGAGAUAGGAUUUCAAUCACACGUAUACCAAAGCACCGUAGGUUACUUGAAUCAAUAAUAUCUCAAAAGUCAACAAGAGCACAUGGUACAACUAUCAAGAAUAAAUAGUGAUAGGAUACAUAAAACAAAAAACUAUAACUUACCUGGUGUAAUUCUUUGAGCUCACCCUCAACAAAUCUAAAGUUAUCUGUGGGGAUGUACCACAGACAUCUCUAAAGGCAACUCCACUAUUGGGGCAUAAUACAUUAGUAAGAAUAAAAAAAUUAAUGAAGUAAAUAAAAAUGGGUAAUUAUUGAUCUGAUACCUUCUCUAUCAUGGCAUCAAUCUCUAUAUUGGGUGGGAAUUGGUGCAGCAAAAGAUAAACCCUGCAAAUAUAGACACCAAACAAUCUCAGCAUAAAAGAAAACAAAAUUCCAAAGAUAAACAAAUUGAUUCGAUACCUUUUUGAGUCCCUCUCUGCAACAGCUAUUAAGUGAGAUUUUGAUGCUCUGUUCACUCACGAUAUGAGCAACCCAACUAAAACAAUCCAAGGUCAUUGCACAGAAUUUGAUCAUUGGCAUGUUUCAAAAUAUUUUACCCAUUCCAAAUAUCAAUUAAAUUUAUGAACAAUUUUAAAAAUCUAUGAAUUCUAAAUAAUUUAUAAACAACACAAUUUAAAAAAAUAUGAAAAUUUUCAACUUGAUUCCACAAAAAUGUAAAAACUCCUUCCAAAUAGCCUAACCUAGGAAGUCACGAAUUCAUAUCCACAGUCCCAAUUUCUAAAAUCUUCCAAUUAAAAAAUUUUCACUUUUGCCAAAACUUUUUGCUUUUCACUGUAGGAUGUCUAAUUUCCACGUCUAUGCUGCCUUUAGCGACUACCAUUACCAUAAAACUUCCUCUUUUUCCAACCCAUAGACUCGUCUCUUUAGUUGGCCAUUUGAUCUUUACUACAUUGACCCCAAAAUAAAUCUUCUUCACAAAUACAGAAAACAUUACCUAAAUAUAAAGAAUUCAGCUGACCAGGCAAAUUGUGAACCCAUACACAAUAUUAAAAAUUCCAGUAUCAAACAUCUGCAAAAGACUACUUACCAAGCACCUGUUGAGCAAUCAACUGCUUUCUGGGAUCCUGCUCCAACAUUUGCCUAACAAGGCUCUUUGCAUUAUCAGAAAUUUGCGGCCAAGGUUCCCUCUUAAAAUCAAUCACCCCCUUAAAAUUGUCAAAGCAACACCCUGUUCCGUCUCUACAAAAAGAGCCAAAAACAAAAAAGCAAACAACUUCAUAAUCAAAUCUAACAAUUACAGACAUACUCACAAUUCAAGAACCACAAAGUACCUGCCCAAAAUGGAGGAACUCCACAUAGCAAAAUAUAAAGAAUCACUCCAGCACUCCAUAUAUCCACUUCAGGCCUAUAAUUUCGCUUCAAAACCUCAGGCGCCAUAUAGUACGAACUCCCCACAAUCUCUGAGAACCUUACACCUACGUCCAACAAAACCUUAAAUUUCUGUAAACAACCAAAAACCCAUAAACAAAGAAGCAAAAUGAAUCCACGCCAAAACCAUACCAGGCCGGAAAACACUGAUAGCCCAAAACCUCCACAUCUUGAUAGCUUCAAAAUCAGAUUUGCAUGGGUCUUGAAAUGAAAACCUCCACAUCUUCUAGUAGCUUCACAAAAGAGACGAUCUUGAAAAUGAAAACCCCAAAUAGCUCUAGUUUAUGACCAACUACAUGUUGUCACUUCACAAUGUGAUGAAUCACCUCGAAAUUGCCUUCUGCCUCACUUCUUAUUUGUUCCCAUUCAAAUCUAUGAGAUUCCAUUCCCUAAAAGUCAAGAGAAAUAUAGAUCGAGGUGUGAAUAUGGUACUCUUCCAAGGGUUACGGUUUUUGAUAGGGAGUGAAGGCUUAGGGUUUUUUAUGCUCUGAGGGUUUGGGUCUUCUAAGGGCUUUUAUACUCACAUCUAGUAUGAUGUGUAAGAAAAUGGCCAAGGUUUAUCGGGUUGUGAAAUAUGCUUUUUGCGGGUGCAAAUAAUUCAAUGAAGGGAAUAAAAAAUAUUAAAUAUUGUGUUAAAAAGUACAUGACGCUUGUGAGAAGUGCCAAGGAUGCGUGUUGAUGUUUGUACACAAUGACACUUAAAAAUAGGCGCCAACGUCUUUAAGCAUAUUCAGCUCAAUGACAGUUAUAAAGCGCCAUAGUAAACGAGCGCCAACAUUUGUGUAUAUCCAACUAAAUAAUGACGCUUUUUUAAAAGCGCCAAGGAUAUAAGCGUCCUUGUUUUGGUUUUUUGUAGUAGUGUUUUUAGAUGCUUAGUUGCCUAGAAUGUCUAUGAAAAUUGAGAAAAUUGGAAAUUUAGCAUCCUAAAUUAGUGUUAAAGGAAAUUAUUUAUAAAAAUAAUAAAUCAAACAAACAACUUUUUAUUUCUCUACUAUUUUCCUAGCAACCAAACAUAGUUUAAUGAAAACACAAAAAGAUAGAGUUUUCUUCUAUUCAUGCCCCCCAUGGGUUAUUAUAUUCCUUUCUAAUGAGUUUGGGGCAUCUAACUCUAAUGGGUUAGGGCAUUAGAUCCUAUGUUCCCUUACAAAUUUGUAAUCACCAUCCAAUCCUAGGAGAAAGAGGGAUAUGAUGAAGGUCAUUCGUCUAUCUUCUCUAUGAUGGUGUUGUAGUGUCCUUUGGUGGGUUUAGGGCUAUGAAACAGUGCCCCCAUUUUAAUCAAAGGUAUGUUUGGAUUUAAUCAGACUUAGUUAAUGUUUGGUUUUAAUGUUUUAGAGAUCAUGUUGCCAUGUCAACAACCAAUCAACUAUUAUAUGAAAUAUGAUGUGACAUCUUAUAAGGGUAUUUUUUACCCUUACUUUUUAUAGCCUUCACAUCAAUUAUGGAACUUAUGUGAAUGUUGGACUAAUUAUUACCCCCUUCUAUCCCUAAAUUAUAUGAUAUUCCAUUAAUUUUGGUUUAAUAUAGGUCGUGAUUUGCUUUCAACACCCUCUUACGAAAUCUAUGGAAUAUCAUGAUAAUACACUAAAAUUCUUUUCCAAUGGUUGGGCAUUCAAUCAUCAAGCAUCCAUUGUUUUAUAUGAUGAGAAACCAUUCUCUUAUAUUUAUGGAUGACACGGUACGGUGAUGCACCAAAGAGGACAAGAGCAUCCUCCUAAUAACGGUGAUGCACCAAAGAGGACAAGAACAUCCUCCUAAUAGCACGUAGUUCAACACUAGAGCAAUUAAUACAAAAAGAAAACAUCCUAAACUACAAAUAAUUUAGGAUUCCAGACACGAACUAUCUAGAGAUUUAUAUACAGAAGAGAACAAUUCUAGUAAUAAUUUAACCAACUAAUAUUAAACAAAGUAGCUGAUGGAGAUGGGUCCAAAUCACAACAUUUUAAUUUCCAAGGCACGUAGAUAAGCGUAUUGAAGGUUUUCCUUGGCAGUAUUAUUUGAGAUCGGUGUGUUAUGGGAGGGAAUUUUUCCUAUAUAAACCCCUGCUGGAAUCUCCGAGUGUAUCAAUCUGCUUACUCAUUUAAUUCAUCAAUCCCUACUGCGUCCAAUAUCAUGGCUUCUGUCAACCAGUACCAAUACAUCUGUUUAGCUUUGCUCUUCGUUUUGGCUGCUUGGGCAUCUCAAGCCACAGCCCGCAACCUUCAUGAAGCAUCAAUGUAUGAGAGACAUGAGGAUUGGAUGGUUCAGUAUGGGCGUGAAUAUAAGGAUGCUGAUGAGAAAAGCAAGCGCUACAAGAUAUUCAAGGAUAAUGUGGCACGUAUAGAAUCUUUCAACAAGGCCAUGGACAAAUCUUACAAGCUGAGCAUCAAUGAAUUUGCAGAUCUCACCAACGAAGAGUUCAGAGCCUCACGAAAUAGAUUCAAGGCCCACAUCUGUUCCACCGAGGCAACUUCUUUCAAAUACGAGAAUGUUACUGCAGUGCCAUCUACUGUCGAUUGGAGAAAGAAAGGAGCUGUUACACCCAUCAAGGACCAAGGCCAAUGCGGUAAGUGAAAAUAUUUUUGUAGUAUGGUUUGAAAUUGAUGUUUUUCUCACUCUUUUACGAUAAAAAAAUGCAGGGUCUUGCUGGGCAUUUUCGGCUGUGGCAGCUAUGGAAGGAAUUACUCAGCUAUCGACUGGGAAGCUAAUCUCUCUUUCUGAACAAGAGUUGGUUGACUGUGACACUAGUGGGGAGGAUCAAGGCUGCAGUGGUGGUCUAAUGGAUGAUGCCUUCAAAUUCAUCGAACAAAAUCAUGGUCUCACCACCGAAGCUAACUACCCCUACGCGGGAACUGAUGGCACCUGCAACCGCAAGAAGGCAGCCCACCCUGCAGCCAAGAUAAAUGGGUAUGAAGAUGUGCCAGCCAACAAUGAGAAGGCUUUACAAAAGGCUGUUGCCCACCAACCUAUUGCCGUUGCCAUUGAUGCUGGGGGGUCUGAGUUCCAAUUCUAUUCAAGUGGUGUGUUUACAGGACAGUGUGGCACAGAACUAGACCAUGGUGUUUCUGCGGUUGGUUACGGAACCAGCGAUGAUGGGAUGAAGUAUUGGCUGGUGAAGAACUCAUGGGGCACAGGAUGGGGCGAAGAAGGUUACAUACGGAUGCAGAGGGAUGUGACUGCAAAGGAAGGUCUCUGUGGAAUUGCAAUGCAAGCAUCUUACCCCACCGCAUAAAAUUAAUUGAAAAAAGGCAAUCCCUACUAUCCUGUGGUUAAUCAAUUACAAGAUAUGUUGCGCUGAUAAUUUCUAGUCUAUAGUUGUGUAUAAUUCAGCAAGGAUGCCCUGUGGUCAAAAGAGUCCAUAAAAUUAUGUAUGGACCAUAAUAUAUAAAUAUGAACGUACACCUUCAGUUGGUUCCUUCCUAUUUCUGUGUUUUGAAUGAGAAAUGACAGGGGAUCUCAUACUAAAAGUAUCAGACUAAAUAAAGAAAAAGAGUAAGGAUGGAAAAUGACACCCCAAAAAAAAUAAAGGGAAAAUUUUUGGUUAACAUUGCAAUUAGCCAAAACAAUUUCUUAACUUUAUGCAACACACAAAGAUCACCAAGAUAUCAUCAACAUACAUAAUGGAAAAUACAAAUUUUGCUUACCAACCUUUAGAUAUACACAACAAUCAACGGUGUUUCUUAAUUCAAAGGAAGUUACUAUAUCAUUCAACUUAAGAUACAAUUGUUGAGAGGCUUGAUUAUGUAGGGAGUACUUGGAUUACUCCAUUCCGUAUCCUAGGACUAGUUAAGGUGCAUGCAAUACUUCCUAGGGCCUCUAGAUCUUAGUAACAUAAUUAGCAACAAAUAUAAAAAAACAAUCAAGAUCUAGAGUUUAGCACUUUACCUCACAUCUGGGUGUUUCUAGAUAUAAUCCAGUUGGGGAAGAGGAAUGUCAAAGCUGUUGUAGUCGCUAUAGAUAUCGUGAACCCACUGAUCUUCUGCCAUGAUGAGUCUCUUUGAAUCUCAACACUAGAGGGGUGAAAUUCUCUCUUUAGGGUUGGUGGAUGACCUAUUAUGAAAUGUAUACACGAAUGCUGAUAAAAAGGACAAAGGCUAGCUACACAAUGUCUAAGCAUAAUGUGGCAUAUAUAGAAACUUUUGACAAUCCCAUGGACAAACUUGCAUGCUAAGAAUUAAUGAAUUUGCAAGUCUUACUGAUAAAAGAAUUCAUAGCCUCACAAAAUAUUUCAAAGUGCACAUUUGUUUUGUAGAAGCAACUUCUUUCAAAUACAAAGAUGUUAGUUCCAUCUAUAAUUAAAUAAAGGAAAAAUGAGUUGUUGUAAAGUUUUCUCUUAAUAAUUUUUUGUUAAUCAUUCAUGAAAGCAAAAAAUCAUAAUUCCAAAAUUUUUUUGAAUAUCAUGACUUUUACUAACAUAAAUAUAAUUAAGUUAUUAGAUAUACCUUGAUCCAUGAUUGAAACUUUGUUUCAAAUGAAGACCUUUGAACAUCAAUCCAUGGAAAAUUGAUACCUCUCUCUUAGCCCUAUUAAUUUUUUAUACAAUAAUAAUUAAUAUCAUUUAAUGAUGGAUCUAUUGCUUUUAUAGGUUGAGAGAGGACCAGAUUCAGAUCACAAACAACUUACUUUCCAUCAAAGUAAAAUUCCAUAAGGAAACAUUAAUGGAACACAAUACAAUAGACAAAUUCAUACUUAAAUAAGUUAUCAUAAAUAUUAUAGUUCAUUAGAAUACUAAUGUGAGUCAUGGCAGUUGUUUGUCAUUUACUGUAACACAUUUUCUUCUAUAUAUACAAACUAGCAAUCUAAGUAACUCGGUCUAUAAAUGGGAAGUAUUCAUAAAUGUCCACAAUAAUGUCUUUGUCACAUACUACUCCUAUUAUCAUUCAUUUAAUCUCUUAUGUGUACACAAAAGGGAAGAUAAGAAACAUCAAAACCACAUUAUUUACUUGAAAAUGUCACUUAAUUAAUAAUUGUUAGGAAUUUGAGGCUAAUCCAACUUAUGAUAAUCACCCUAGAGGGGGGAUGAAUAGGGUGAUGGUCUCUUUUUCACAAAUUUAAACUAUACAAAAAUAAGAGACAAUUAUAUGCAAGUAUAUAAUAAACAAGAGUUUAUAGUGGUUCGGCACUUCUUUGCCUAUGUCCACUCUCCUCAACCUCCUAACCAAGUGAGAGUUCCAUUAUCUUGAAGCUUCAACUAAGCUUCCAAUCUCUUUACAAUUGGAUUAUGGUUCCAAUUCACCUUCUUGGACUUUUGGCUCCAAACACCCUUUACACUUCUUCAAACAACCUCUCAAGUGAUACCCCUCACUUGAGAAAAUUCCUCACAAAGAUAUACAAAUAAUGAUCUUUCAAAAUCCUAGUAAUAGAACUUUAGGCUCAAAGAUACAAGAAAAACUAGGAUUGAAUGGUGCACUAAAGAUAUGCAAGUUAUGAAACAAUGGUGCACUCAAAAACACUCUUUCAAGGCUCAAAUAUAAUCAAGAAUGAUUUGGGAAGGUUAAGCUUAUGAAACAAUGAAGAUUGGAGCCUUUUUAUAGAAGAAAAAAGUCAAACUAGCCGUUAGGGGUUCAACCGGUCGAACUAGGGGUCAACCGGUUGACUAGCCGUUAGGAAAAGUGACCGUUGGGCCUCAACCGGACCUCGACCGGUUUAGGUUCAACCUUGACCGGAAAGAGAAGGCCACUGGGAGAGAGAAAAACUUUUUGGCAUCCCUCAACCGGUCCUCAACCGGACGAGCACAACCGGUUGAAUCGAUUGAGCCAUUUUUUGGCUCAACACCCAACCUUUUUCAACUUAAAACCUUUUAACACAAGUUUUGAAAAUCAUUUAAUACAAGGUUUUAGUUGAAAACAUGAAAUCAUCCAAUUCUUAAAAUAUUUAAAACAAUAUUACUCUUUAAUGAUUUUGGUGCAUAAAUAAAGAAUGAAAUGCAUGAAAGUCUUAGUGCACCAACAACCUUACAAAGAGAUCUUAUGAAGCUUUGGUCUUAAAAAACUCUUCUCUUUGAGGUGGUCUUCUUCUUCAUGAUUUCUCCUUAGCUUGAUUUUUCUUUAUGAUUGCCACUUUGGAAAUCGUCUUACCUAAUCACACUUGAAAUAUGAUCAUUAGUUCUAAACCUUAUUUUGUUAUCAUCAAAAUCAAGAUUAACCAAACCUUGAUUUCACAAUAAUCAUAAUGCAGAUCUACAAGUUAUUAUUUAAUAAUCACAACAAAGACUCAUCAUUUCCAUGUAUUCCUUAAAUGUCUCUGAUGGUAAUCUUUUCAUCAAUGGAUAAGCAAUCAUAAACUUUAGACUUACGUAUUUUAUUGGUACUCUUUGUUUUUAGGCCUCAUUUUUAAUGAUAAAUUAUUUCAAUUCUAUGAAUCUCACACCCUUAGAAUAUUUGUGAUUCUUGGAGAAAAAGAUAGUCAUAGAAUCAUCGCAAUAAAUUUUUAGACGCUUGACAAUAGAGUUGAUGAAUUUUAAGUUCUAAAAUAAUGCUCUACAACACCACAUUUCAUGAAUUGUAACCUCAAAGAAAUCAAAAGAUUUGAAUUCCAUAGUAGAUGAAGCUAUGACAAAAUAUUUCACACUUUUUCAUGAGAUUGCUCCUCUAGCUAGUUAGAGUAAAUAAACGAAAGUGGACUUUUUUCUAUCAAGACAUCUAGAAAAAUCUGAAUUUAAUAUCUAAUCACUCCUAAAUGAUCAAAUCUCUUAAAUUUGAGCAUGUACUCUUUCAUUCCUAAUAGAUACUUCAAUAUCUUCUUUGCAAUUUUUAAUGAUCCAUCCUUGGAUUACUUUAUUAUUUGCUCAACAUGCUUACCACAAAACUGAUGUUUAGAUUGUUGCAAGUUUGGGUAUACAUCAAACUUCCUACAACACAUAAAUGAGGGAUUCUUUCCAUUUGUUUGUAUUUUAAAUCAUUUCUUGCACAUUAUAUGAGACUGAACUUAUCGAUCCCUUUCUAUAUUAAUGCAAUAGUUGCGAAAUAAUUUUCCAUUCCAUAUCUUUCUAGGACUCUAUAUAUUCUUAUAUGCAUUUUGAGAUAAUCCUAAUAAUUCAUGUGACCUAUCCUAUAAUAUUUCAAUUCCAAUCACACAAGCUACCUCUCCCAUAUCUUUCAAAGAUUUUUAGAUGCUUAGUUGCCUAGAAUGUCUAUGAAAAUUGAGAAAAUUGGAAAUUUAGCAUCCUAAAUUAGUUUUAAAGGAAAUUAUUUAUAAAAAUAAUAAAUCAAACAAACAACUUUUUAUUUCUCUACUAUUUUCCUAGCAACCAAACAUAGUUUAAUGAAAACACAAAAACUAAGGGAAAAUAUGGAAGUAGAAAUACCAUGGAGAUAUUGAGUUUUCUUCUAUUUGUGUUGUUUGAGAGUAGGGUUGAGCUCCACACCCACCCCNNNNNNNNNNNNNNNNNNNNNNNNNNNNNNNNNNNNNNNNNNNNNNNNNNNNNNNNNNNNNNNNNNNNNNNNNNNNNNNNNNNNNNNNNNNNNNNNNNNNUCCCUCCCGAUGGGCUAUUAUAUUUCUUUCUAAUGAGUUUGGGGCAUAUAACUCUAAUGGGUUUAGGGCAUUAUAUCCUGAGUUGUUUCCUUACAAAUUUGUAAUCACCAUGCAAUCCUAGGAGAAAGAGGAAUAUGAUGAAGGUCAUUCGUCUAUCUUCUCUACGAUGGUGUUGCAGUGUCCUUUGGUGGGUUUAGGGCUAUGAAACAGUACCCCCAUUUUAAUCAAAGGUAGGUUUGGAUUUAAUCAGACUUAGUUAAUGUUUGGUUUUAAUGUUUUGGAGAACAUGUUGCCAUGUUAGCAACCAAUCAACUAUUAUAUGAAAUAUGAUGUGACAUCUUAUAAGGGUAUUUUUUACCCUUACUUUUUAUAGCAUUCACAUCAAUUAUGGAAUUUAUGUGGAUGUUGGACUAAUUAUUACCUCCUUCUAUCCCUAAAGUAUAUGAUAUUCCAAUAAUUUUGCUCCAAUAUAGGUCGUGAUUUGCUUUCAACGCCCUCUUAUGAAAUCUAUGGAAUAUCGUGAUAAUACACUAAAAUUCUUUUCCAAUGGUUGGGCAUUCAAUCAUCAAGCAUCCAUUGUUUUAUAUGAUGAGAAACCAUUCUCUUAUAUUUAUGGAUGACACGGUACGGUGAUGCACCAAAGAGGACAAGAACAUCCUCCUAAUAGCACGUAGUUCAACACUAGAGCAAUUAAUACAAAAAGAAAACAUCCUAAACUACAAAUAAUUUAGGAUUCCGUACACGAACUAGCUAGAGAUUUAUAUAUACACAAGAGAACAAUUCUAGUAAUAAUUUAACCAACUAAUAUUAAACAAAGUAGCUGAUGGAGAUGGGUCCAAAUCACAACAUUUUAAUUUCCAAGGCACGUAGAUAAGCGUAUUGAAGGUUUUCCUUGGCGGUAUUAUUUGAGAUCAGUGUGUUAUGGGAGGGAAUUUUUCCUAUAUAAACCCCUGCUGGAAUCUCCGAGUGUAUCAAUCUGCUUACUCAUUUAAUUCAUCAAUCCCUACUGCUUCCAAUAUCAUGGCUUCUGUCAACCAGUACCAAUACAUCUGUUUGGCUUUGCUCUUCGUUUUGGCUGCUUGGGCAUCUCAAGCCACAGCCCGCAGCCUUCAUGAAGCAUCAAUGUAUGAGAGACAUGAGGAUUGGAUGGUUCAGUAUGGGCGUGAAUAUAAGGAUGCUGAUGAGAAAAGCAAGCGCUACAAGAUAUUCAAGGAUAAUGUGGCACGUAUAGAAUCUUUCAACAAGGCCAUGGACAAAUCUUACAAGCUGAGCAUCAAUGAAUUUGCAGAUCUCACCAACGAAGAGUUCAGAGCCUCACGAAAUAGAUUCAAGGCCCACAUCUGCUCCACCGAAGCAACUUCUUUCAAAUACGAGAAUGUUACUGCAGUGCCAUCUACUGUCGAUUGGAGAAAGAAAGGAGCUGUUACACCCAUCAAGGACCAAGGCCAAUGCGGUAAGUGAAAAUAUUUUUGUAGUAUGGUUUGAAAUUGAUGUUUUUCUCACUCUUUUACGAUAAAAAAAAUGCAGGGUCUUGCUGGGCAUUUUCGGCUGUGGCAGCUAUGGAAGGAAUUACUCAGCUAUCGACUGGGAAGCUAAUCUCUCUUUCUGAACAAGAGUUGGUUGACUGUGACACUAGUGGGGAGGAUCAAGGCUGCAGUGGUGGUCUAAUGGAUGAUGCCUUCAAAUUCAUCGAACAAAAUCAUGGUCUCACCACCGAAGCCAACUACCCCUACGCGGGAACUGAUGGCACCUGCAACCGCAAGAAGGCAGCCCACCCUGCAGCCAAGAUAAAUGGGUAUG
RNAcentral lists this long non-coding RNA (17466 nucleotides) under Vitis vinifera (wine grape). RNAcentral's name for it is "long non-coding RNA (VVIN_LNC003680)". Lineage: Eukaryota; Viridiplantae; Streptophyta; Magnoliopsida; Vitales; Vitaceae. The record is from RNAcentral.